This 253-nucleotide ribosomal RNA is filed under the name uncultured bacterium. RNAcentral's name for it is "partial 16S ribosomal RNA". It matches the Rfam family "Bacterial small subunit ribosomal RNA", at positions 524 to 776 of the family's 1533-position model. The record is from RNAcentral.
UACGGGGGGGGCAAGCGUUGUUCGGAAUUACUGGGCGUAAAGGGUUCGUAGGUGGCUUGCUAAGUCAGACGUGAAAUCCCUCAGCUUAACUGGGGAACUGCGUCUGAGACUGGCGGGCUCGAGUGCAGGAGAGGAACGCGGAAUUCCAGGUGUAGCGGUGAAAUGCGUAGAUAUCUGGAGGAACACCGGUGGCGAAGGCGGCGUUCUGGACUGCAACUGACACUGAGGAACGAAAGCCAGGGGAGCAAACGGG